Molecule: non-coding RNA, 402 nt
Organism: Xyrauchen texanus (razorback sucker)
Lineage: Eukaryota; Metazoa; Chordata; Actinopteri; Cypriniformes; Catostomidae
Source: the annotation of a RefSeq genome assembly
AUGUUGACUUUUGUUCUUUUAUUACUGAUAUUAACUGAAGGUAACAGUGUUAAAGAAGUCAUCACCCCAUAUAGUGAUGCAGCAUUUGCCACUGAACGUGAGAGUGUGACUCUGUCUUGUAACUACACUGGUUCUGUUGAUAGUCUUCACUGGUAUCGGCAAUACACCGGUUCAUCUCCACAGUUCCUCAUACUGGAAUACUAUGGCAAAUCUAGAUAUGCUGAUCCUCCAGUUCCUGGAAUCUCCAUCAAACACAGAAAAGAAAGCACUAGUGUGGAUCUAGAGAUCUCCUCUGCUGCAGUAUCAGACUCUGCUCUAUACUACUGCGCCCUGAAGCCCACAGUGACAGGAAAACUCUGCACACCAUACAAAAACCUGACUGACAGUCUUAACGCAAUAUAG